This 3251-nucleotide long non-coding RNA is filed under the name Anolis carolinensis (green anole). RNAcentral's name for it is "lncRNA (ENSACAG00000031976.2)". Lineage: Eukaryota; Metazoa; Chordata; Lepidosauria; Squamata; Anolidae. The record is from RNAcentral.
AAACAAAUUCUGAUGCCUUAUGUAUGCAUUUAUUUAUUAUGUUUUAAGAACCUACCAUUUGAAUGGGGCAGCAUGCAUGGGUCUGGAAAUACAUUCUAAAUAGUCCAGAGUGCUGGAAAAGUCACAAAAAUAUCAUUACAGUAGUUUACCCCAGUUGGGAUGUUUGCCUGUUCCUUGUAGUCCAUGGCAAUGGAAUGAGUUCAGAUUGGAGUUAUCUUUUACUCCCCAAAUGAAGACACUGGAUCAGAAUAGGCAUAGGUUAAGGAUAGGUCAAGGGCAUGAGAGAAAAUUAACAUAGGUUGCAAUUCCAUUAUUAUGUUCCACCGGCAGAAGUGUGUUAGUAGUAAUAGGGGCCACCUCUCGUCAAACUCAUUUUUGACAGGUGCCACGCCCCCUUGAAGCAGGAAGUCCUGCCCCUUGAAGCAGGAAGUGCCACCUCCUAAAAGAGGAACUCCCUCCUCCUAAAAACAGGAAAUGCAAUCCCGGGAGACCCUUCCCCCUGAGGUGAAGCCCUCCCACAGCCCACAGCCCACCCACCACCCACCCCUACCAUAAGCCGCCCAUGUGAUGGGUAUGUCUAUGGUGCAUGUUCCCUACUCCUACUGCAGGAGCUUACCACGUGGUGGGGCAAGCACAGACAUGUUUCAAUGAGGCAUUCAUGGUGAUGCGUAUGGGCUGAAAGGCCCCUUGCCUAGACUGACCCCUCUGCUUGAGGAAAUGGGGCAGCCAGGACCGUGUGCUAGGUCUUAGUGGUGAGCUCUGUGCUCUGUGACCAACAGCCAAUGGAUUUAGGCCCAUAAGGUCAUCAUGUGAUACUGGGAGGGCCCAUUAGGGCGGAGCUUUUAGGAAUAAAUACUCCAUGUGAGUUUUAGUGCAUCCCUUGACUGCUUUCAGAGGAAUGGAAAAUAUGGAAUUAUCAGAUGCCAGUGUUUCUUCCUCAGAGCUACCUGAUUCAACAGUUGAUGAAUCCCAAAGCAGGAAACGCUUCAUAAGUUCAAGUUCUGAUGAGGAUGAUGACUGUGAUUUAGCUAAAAGAAAAUGUGAGGAAGACCGGGUGGUUUCCGAAUCAGCUAACAGGCUUUUGGAAACACUUUCAUCAGAACCAGCAAUACCAUCCUCUGAGCAGGGGGUUACAGAAAAUUCAUCAGGGGCAGCUAAAGAAGAAGAAGUGAAGUCACCAUCUAUCGCUGCUAUUUGGAAGCUAUGCUGCGUAGCAUCAAGCCAGCUACAAGAGACCCCUGAAAUGAGUGCUAUUCAACGCCCAGGCCAUGUGAUUAUGUCAAGCAUUCUUGGAUUGGAUGUCAAGACUGAAACAGGGAAUGUAGAGCAGAAGACGGUCAUGUUGGAGACCGCCAAAGCAACCGUUUACGGGAUAUUAGAUCACUGUUUAAACGAAAUAUUAUUUGAGGCGUGUCCGGGUUGUCAGAUUUUUGCAGGGAAUCAGAUGAGUCAUGAAUGUGUGUUAUGGAACAACAAAUUCCUAAGCAAAAAAUUGAAGGAUAUUUGUGGAAAUUUAUGCUUCAUAAAUACCCUUCAUAUUUUUCUUUUGAUAGGUUACUGUCAAAACUCUCUGUAUAUGACCUCUGAAAUAUUGGACUACAUUAUGAAUUUGGUAACAUAUAUUGGCCAAACUGAUAAGGCUAUUAAAGUUCUAAAUGCUGGAUUGAAGAGUUGCAACCAGGAGAUUCUGCAGCAAGUCAAAACUGUGCUAAAAAACCGUCCAUACAAACAUUAUGUCAAAUUUUGGCCUAUUAUAACUAAUUUUAAGAAAGAGUAAAACUUGCAGCUAUUGAUGACUGUUUUUAAAAAUUCAAAAAAGUGUGUUACAUUGAAAUAAAAUAUAUGGUACUUUCAAUAAUGGGAUAAAAUAAAAUGGAUUUAAAAACAACAUAAUGCUCAAUGUGUUUUUUAUUUGAGGGCUUCCCUUUAGAAGUACAUUUAAUGAACACUCAUAAGAUUUCUAAUGUAUAUAUAUAUAUCUAACUAAAUAGAAAAGUGAAAAUGCGUGCCUGUUUAUUGAUCCUUCUGACAAAACAGGAAAUGCAUAUUUCAGUGGUCAUGCCAUGGACAGAUGCUGAUGACUUCUGAAAAACAGAGAUAAUAACCAUCUCUGUGCCUGGAUCUUUAAGUGUUACAUUCCUUUAGAAAUACGACCUUAUAACCCAACAUGCCCCAUUUACCAGAAGAUUAUUUUAAAAUGGGUAAAAUAAAAUGGAUUUAAAAACAACAUAAUGCUCAUUGUGUUUUUUAUUUGAGGGGCUUACCUUUAGAAGUACAUUUAAUGAACACUCAUAAGAUUUCUAAUGAUAUAUAUAUAUCUAACUAAAUAGAAAAGUGAAAAUAUGUGCCUGUUUAUUGAUCCUUCUGACAAUCAGGAUAUGCAUAUUUUCAGUGGCGUGGGGCCGGAUGCUUAAGACUUCUGAAAAACAGAGAUAAUAAGCAUCUCUGUGCCUGGAUCUUUAACUGAAUACACAAGGCGAAGUGUGGGCCCCUUUCUUUAACCAUGUAUUAAUAUAUAUAUAUUAAAAUGCAUCAUUGGAAACAUGGUUUAUUUUUACAACCAAAAAUAAAAUAAAUAAUAAAAUAAGGGUCCAACAGAACAACCCAAUGUCUAUAGGGAAGGGAGAGUGUUACAGUCCUUUAGAAAAUACAAGUCCUUAUAGCCCAUCAUGCCCCAUUUAGCAGAUUAUUUUAAAAUGGGGUAAAAUAAAAAUGGAUUUUAUCAUCAUUGGAAACAUGGUUUAUUUUUACAACCAAAAAUAAAAUAAAUAAUAAAAUAAGGGUCCAACAGAACAACCCAAUGUCUAUAGGGAAGGGAGAGUGUUACAGUCCUUUAGAAAAUACAAGUCCUUAUAGCCCAUCAUGCCCCAUUUAGCAGAUUAUUUUAAAAUGGGGUAAAAUAAAAAUGGAUUUUAAAAAAACAUAAUGCACAAUGUGCUUUUAUUUGAGGGUUUCCCUUUUGGAAAUACAUUUCAACUACUCUUUAAGGCGUAUAUUGCUAAUUUUCUUCAAUAUACCUUUCCCCAACCCCUUCCCUCAAAAUAAAAAAAAGUAUGAUACCCAUUUAUUUAAUAGAGAUUUAUAUAAAUGUUUCUGUACAACAUGUAUGCCUAACUGCAAAUAUGACCACACCUCAAAAGGAGGGUGUUUGUCUCAUCAGCCAAUGGGAAUUCUCAGUUUAAAAGCGGAUGGAAAGGCGGCCCCAACCAGAAAAGAGGACCCCCUUACGCUUUAAAAACCCUGGGACAUCC